GACGACGCUGGCGGCGUUGGAUUAGGCAUGCAAGUCGAACGGUAUCAUCCUUUCGGGGGUGAGAGAGUGGCGAACUGGUGAGUAACACGUAGGUUAUCUACCCUCAAGACGGGGACAACCCAGGGAAACUUGGGCUAAUACCGGAUGUGAGCAACUUUUAGUUGUUUGAAAGGUGGCGUAAGCUGUCGCUUGGGGAUGAGCCUGCGUCCUAUUAGUUAGUUGGUGAGGUAACGGCUCACCUAGGCAAUGAUAGGUAGGCGGCCUUAACGGGUGGUCGCCCACACUGGGAUUGAGAUACGGCCCAGACUCCUACGGGAGGCAGCAGUCGAGAAUAGUCUACAAUGGUCGGAAGACUGAUAGUGCGACGCCGCGUGAACGAUGAAUCCCUUCGGGGUGUAAAGUUCUUUUAUAUGUGAGCAGUGCUUCUUAUAUUAACAGUAUGGGGAGAGAGAUAUUAGCAUAUGAAUAAGCAACGGCUAACUCCGUG
This 487-nucleotide ribosomal RNA is filed under the name uncultured bacterium. RNAcentral's name for it is "bacterial SSU rRNA". It matches the Rfam family "Bacterial small subunit ribosomal RNA", at positions 33 to 507 of the family's 1533-position model. The record is from RNAcentral.